AGUGAACGCUGGCGGUAGGCCUAACACAUGCAAGUCGAACGGCCGCACAGUAAGAGCUUGCUCUUACGGGUGGCGAGUGGCGGACGGGUGAGGCAUACAUCGGAAUCUACUUUUUCGUGGGGGAUAACGUAGGGACACUUACGCUAAUACCGCAUACGACCUACGGGUGAAAGCAGGGGAUCUUCGGACCUUGCGCGAUUGAAUGAGCCGAUGUCGGAUUAGCUAGUUGGCGGGGUAAAGGCCCACCAAGGCGACGAUCCGUAGCUGGUCUGAGAGGAUGAUCAGCCACACUGGAACUGAGACACGGUCCAGACUCCUACGGGAGGCAGCAGUGGGGAAUAUUGGGCAAUGGGCGAAAGCCUGAUCCAGCCAUACCGCGUGAGUGAAGAAGGCCUUCGGGUUGUAAAGCCCUUUUGUUGGGAAAGAAAAGCAGCAGGUUAAUACCCCGCUGUUCUGACGGUACCCAAAGAAUAAGCACCGGCUAACUUCGUG
RNAcentral lists this ribosomal RNA (492 nucleotides) under uncultured bacterium. RNAcentral's name for it is "partial 16S ribosomal RNA". It matches the Rfam family "Bacterial small subunit ribosomal RNA", at positions 29 to 507 of the family's 1533-position model. The record is from RNAcentral.